RNAcentral lists this ribosomal RNA (468 nucleotides) under uncultured bacterium. RNAcentral's name for it is "partial 16S ribosomal RNA". It matches the Rfam family "Bacterial small subunit ribosomal RNA", at positions 28 to 507 of the family's 1533-position model. The record is from RNAcentral.
GACGAACGCUGGCGGCGUGCUUAACACAUGCAAGUCGAACGGAAAGGCCCUGCUUUUGUGGGGUGCUCGAGUGGCGAACGGGUGAGUAACACGCGAGUAACCUGCCCUUGACUUUGGGAUAACUUCAGGAAACUGGGGCUAAUACCGGAUUGGAGCUCCUGCUGCAUGGUGGGGGUUGGAAAGUUUCGGCGGUUGGGGAUGGACUCGCGGCUUAUCAGCUUGUUGGUGGGGUAGUGGCUUACCAAGGCUUUGACGGGUAGCCGGCCUGAGAGGGUGACCGGCCACAUUGGGACUGAGAUACGGCCCAGACUCCUACGGGAGGCAGCAGUGGGGAAUAUUGCACAAUGGGCGGAAGCCUGAUGCAGCAACGCCGCGUGCGGGAUGACGGCCUUCGGGUUGUAAACCGCUUUCGCCUGUGACGAAGCGUGAGUGACGGUAAUGGGUAAAGAAGCACCGGCUAACUACGUG